CCUACGGGAGGCAGCAGUAGGGAAUAUUGCUCAAUGGGGGAAACCCUGAAGCAGCAACGCCGCGUGGAGGAUGAAGGUUUUCGGAUUGUAAACUCCUUUUGUUAGAGAAGAUAAUGACGGUAUCUAACGAAUAAGCACCUGCUAACUCCGUGCCAGCAGCCGCGGUAAUACGGAGGGUGCAAGCGUUACUCGGAAUCACUGGGCGUAAAGGGCGCGUAGGCGGGAUAGCAAGUCAGAUGUGAAAUCCUAUGGCUUAACCAUAGAACUGCAUUUGAAACUGUUAUUCUAGAGUAUGGGAGAGGUAGGUGGAAUUCUUGGUGUAGGGGUAAAAUCCGUAGAGAUCAAGAGGAAUACUCAUUGCGAAGGCGACCUGCUAGAACAUAACUGACGCUGAUGCGCGAAAGCGUGGGGAGCAAACAGGAUUAGAUACCCGAGUAGUC
RNAcentral lists this ribosomal RNA (440 nucleotides) under uncultured bacterium. Its description in RNAcentral is "partial 16S ribosomal RNA". It matches the Rfam family "Bacterial small subunit ribosomal RNA", at positions 338 to 795 of the family's 1533-position model. The record is from RNAcentral.